RNAcentral lists this ribosomal RNA (253 nucleotides) under uncultured bacterium. RNAcentral describes it as "partial 16S ribosomal RNA". It matches the Rfam family "Bacterial small subunit ribosomal RNA", at positions 524 to 776 of the family's 1533-position model. The record is from RNAcentral.
UACGAAGGGGGCUAGCGUUGUUCGGAAUUACUGGGCGUAAAGCGCACGUAGGCGGAUAUUUAAGUCAGGGGUGAAAUCCCGCAGCUCAACUGCGGAACUGCCUUUGAUACUGGGUAUCUAGAGUAUGGAAGAGGUGAGUGGAAUUCCGAGUGUAGAGGUGAAAUUCGUAGAUAUUCGGAGGAACACCAGUGGCGAAGGCGGCUCACUGGUCCAUUACUGACGCUGAGGUGCGAAAGCGUGGGGAGCAAACAGG